CGGGGAACUGUUUGCCACGUGGAACAAAAUAGCCCGAGGUCAUAAGGCAUCCCCAAAAGGUAGGACUUGGAUGGGAUGGAGAGCACAGAGCGUAUCUGAUCUCAGCCCUCCACCUUCUUUGCACAAUAGAACCACAAAAGAGCUCUGACAGAUCCCAGCUCCCAGGUCCAAGCCUACAGCCACAGAAGUCAGAACCUCGGGGUGGAUCUGGGUGCCCCAGGAUCCCACGGUUUCAGCUAAGGUUGGAGAAUCCCAGAACUAGACUCUCCCCCGGGGUCUUGCCAAUUCCCGUUGUCUGCAAACGCAGGUGGAGAGAGCCAGGAAAUUCUACAGGCUACUGGGGUAUGGCGACAUUAGAAAGUGUUGGACUGAGAGAAGGAAGGGGUUGGAGUCUACUAAGCUAACCCUCCAUCUAACAGGUCUAUUUGAAAGCAGCUACGUUAAACCCGCAUCUCAGAUGAGAAAACUGGACAAAGUGCAGCCAACUGUCAACUGAAGGAUCCUGGGGAUCCAGAACCCCCAAGAAAAAUGCACGCUUUGUCUGAGAUUUAGGAUAAUUUACAAAUGCUUUGCAUCUGACUCAAGGUGGACUGAGGCAGCUGGAGGGUCUGUUAUCUGUGUGUCACACUGAGACUUGGCCUUUGAGCCAAAGCUCUUAAGCUCCUGGAAAUUCUUCAGAUAACACAGGCUCUCUCACUGAUAACCCCUGGAACCUACAAGUCACUUCAUGGGGCCAACCUGAGCCUUAUCCAAAAUGGCUGCAAAGAAUCUCAGAACUCCCCAGGAUGACCCGUUCCACCUUAAGUCUAAUACAGCCUGUCAAGCAGCACUUUCUAGGAAGAAGAAAGGUGAGCAGAGAGUUAUGGGUAGGCUCCCUCCCUUCAAUGGUCCAGUCUAUUCCAUUCCAUCUUCCCAAAGACUACCAGGUCCGCCACUUUCAGACAGGAGAGCCCCAGGCUCAGGAAAUUGCACUUAAGAGAUGCAGCCAACAGUUGCCUUUAGCCUACUGGCUAUGGGUGAGAUAGGACCUCUGUUGAUCUUUUCUGUGUCUAACACACAGAUUGCAAGCCCAGUGCCACUUUGAGAUC
Non-coding RNA from Peromyscus maniculatus bairdii (prairie deer mouse), 1088 nucleotides. NCBI's taxonomy places the organism in Eukaryota, Metazoa, Chordata, Mammalia, Rodentia, Cricetidae. The record is from RefSeq and is a predicted model, not a curated record.